Molecule: ribosomal RNA, 497 nt
Filed under: uncultured bacterium
Lineage: Bacteria
Description: partial 16S ribosomal RNA
Rfam family: Bacterial small subunit ribosomal RNA
Source: RNAcentral
GACGAACGCUGGCGGCGUGCCUAAUACAUGCAAGUAGAACGCUGAAGAGAGGAGCUUGCUCUUCUUGGAUGAGUUGCGAACGGGUGAGUAACGCGUAGGUAACCUGCCUUGUAGCGGGGGAUAACUAUUGGAAACGAUAGCUAAUACCGCAUAACAAUGGAUGACACAUGUCCUUUAUUUGAAAGGGGCAAUUGCUCCACUACAAGAUGGACCUGCGUUGUAUUAGCUAGUAGGUGAGGUAAUGGCUCACCUAGGCGACAAUACAUAGCCGACCUGAGAGGGUGAUCGGCCACACUGGGACUGAGACACGGCCCAGACUCCUACGGGAGGCAGCAGUAGGGAAUCUUCGGCAAUGGGGGCGACCCUGACCGAGCAACGCCGCGUGAGUGAAGAAGGUUUUCGGAUCGUAAAGCUCUGUUGUAAGUCAAGAACGGGUGUGAGAGUGGAAAGUUCACACUGUGACGGUAGCUUACCAGAAAGGGACGGCUAACUACGUG